AUUGAACGCUGGCGGCAGGCCUAACACAUGCAAGUCGAGCGGAUGAAGGGAGCUUGCUCCUGGAUUCAGCUGCGGACGGGUGAGUAAUGCCUAGGAAUCUGCCUGGUAGUGGGGGAUAACGUCCGAAAACGGGCGCUAAUACCGCAUACGUCCUGAGGGAGAAAGUGGGGGAUCUUCGGACCUCACGCUAUCAGAUGAGCCUAGGUCGGAUUAGCUAGUUGGUGGGGUAAAGGCCUACCAAGGCGACGAUCCGUAACUGGUCUGAGAGGAUGAUCAGUCACACUGGAACUGAGACACGGUCCAGACUCCUACGGGAGGCAGCAGUGGGGAAUAUUGGACAAUGGGCGAAAGCCUGAUCCAGCCAUGCCGCGUGUGUGAAGAAGGUCUUCGGAUUGUAAAGCACUUUAAGUUGGGAGGAAGGGCAGUAAGUUAAUACCUUGCUGUUUUGACGUUACCAACAGAAUAAGCACCGGCUAACUUCGUG
This 484-nucleotide ribosomal RNA is filed under the name uncultured bacterium. RNAcentral's name for it is "partial 16S ribosomal RNA". It matches the Rfam family "Bacterial small subunit ribosomal RNA", at positions 30 to 507 of the family's 1533-position model. The record is from RNAcentral.